AGGACGAACGCUGGCGGCGUGCUUAACACAUGCAAGUCGAGCGGAAAGGCCCUUCGGGGUACUCGAGCGGCGAACGGGUGAGUAACACGUGAGCAACCUGCCCUCAGCUCUGGGAUAGCUCCGGGAAACCGGAAUUAAUACCGGAUAUGACCCUGACUGACAUCGGUCAGGGUGGAAAGGAUUCCGGCUGAGGAUGGACUCGCGGCCUAUCAGCUAGUUGGUGGAGUAACGGCCCACCAAGGCGACAACGGGUAGCCGGCCUGAGAGGGCGACCGGCCACACUGGGACUGAGACACGGCCCAGACUCCUGCGGGAGGCAGCAGUGGGGAAUAUUGCGCAAUGGGCGAAAGCCUGACGCAGCGACGCCGCGUGGGGGAUGAAUGCCUUCGGGUUGUAAACCCCUUUCAGCAGGGACGAAGCGAGAGUGACGGUACCUGCAGAAGAAGCGCCGGCUAACUACGCGCCAGCAGCCGC
Molecule: ribosomal RNA, 474 nt
Filed under: uncultured bacterium
Lineage: Bacteria
Description: SSU rRNA
Rfam family: Bacterial small subunit ribosomal RNA
Source: RNAcentral